Non-coding RNA from Bactrocera oleae (olive fruit fly), 1437 nucleotides. The record is from RefSeq and is a predicted model, not a curated record. Lineage: Eukaryota; Metazoa; Arthropoda; Insecta; Diptera; Tephritidae.
AGUAUACUUCCAUACACUAGUCGUUUGAGACUUAAAAAUCUUCAUACAAUUUUUAGUCGUAGGGGAAUGGUUUUCCUAAUAUUCUUAGUGAAAAUUGAAUGGAACAGUUUGCAGUACUUUUUGCCUGUCUGAACCUGUCCUGUAAAACAAAUUUCGAACUAAACGCAUAUGUCAUGAUUUUAAUUCUCAUUUCAGCACAUUUGUUUUAUCUGAUUCACUUUUCAAAAUUAAAGAGACUAUAUUGCUUUCUAGUAAUAAAUAAAAACGUAACAAUUAAUUAAAUCUACAAUAGUUAAUUUGUUGGUAAUUUGCACUAAGUACUCGCGAAAUAAGGAACUAAUGAACGACACUCUUGAUUUAUACGAUUAACUCUACAAUGUUGUAGUAAUCGAAAAUGACGGAAAACGCUCGGUUUGGGAAAUUAAUAAGCAAACGGCGUCGCGCAGGAAAACGUUGCAAAAUGCAGAAAAACUCUGAUGUCCGUAUAGGCUCGAUGAUGGCGAUCGAAUAAAAGAGGCCCGUAUCCAGUUGUCGAUCCUUUUUGUUGAUUGGGCAGAGUGGUGUAGUGUCUUCGGGAGUGGAUGCUAUUAUUGUGGUGUGUUGGAGUGUAUGAGUGGUGCUUGUGAAAUGGUGUGUGGGGCUUGUAGAGGGAUGUUCGCUGGGAAGGCUUAUAGCUCAUUUAGCCAAUAUCGUAACUUAAAAUCAUAGCUGUUGAAAUGUUUGUUUCUGUAGCUGAGUAGUUUAGAUCUCAACGCUUAAAAAACUCUCGCUUUUUCUGACACGACUAAUUCCGCACGUAUUCUUUGGUUUAUUAUUAUAAGAGCAGCUCUCUUUGGCAUCUGUGGUGGACUACGGCGAACUUCAACAAUGACACUAAAUGCCGUUCCACACAUAGCACCCGUAGAGAUAGCCGACUGAUAUAUUGCUGCGCAUGUCGCUGUAGGAUUGCAGCUCGUUAUAUGGAAGUACCGGCAGCUGGGUAUAUGAAAGAAUCCUAACAGGGACAUCCUGCGUAGCAGAGUCUAUUUCUUGUGGCUAGAUGGAAGGUUAGACGGGGAGUUUUACAUGCAAGAUGUCUGUUGUUAAGGUGAUAGUUGAUGUUUUGCUCCCACAUUUAGCGAGGUGAGCAUUCAUCACGACAGCAGAGCAGCUAUAUUAGCGUUGAGCUCAGUUAAUGUGCGCUGAAAGCUAGUCAGUAUCGAUAAUUUCAAGUUACUACACUCAUUUGAGUGGCCAUCGUAAAGGGCAAGUAGAGAAACUAUCAAAUGAUCAUUGCAAACAAAGCUACAGCUGAGAAGUGUCCAUGGAGAAACGUCAAGACCGCCUAGGAGUUGAGUUUCUAUUGACAGCCAAGAUGACCGACUUUUGACCUGAAAAUGGUGGCAUAUUGCUAUUUUCUUUUAAUUUAUAUAAAAGUUGUCCAAAAAAUAUUGAUUA